Long non-coding RNA from Sinocyclocheilus rhinocerous, 1481 nucleotides. RefSeq lists it as uncharacterized. The record is from RefSeq and is a predicted model, not a curated record. The transcript has 3 exons. Lineage: Eukaryota; Metazoa; Chordata; Actinopteri; Cypriniformes; Cyprinidae.
UGUGCACUCACAAUCUAAAUUAAUGUAUUUCACUAAUGAUCCUUCCUUUCAAUUUUCAUGUAUUUACUUUAUAUUAGUUGUUCACGAAAACGUGAUAAUUUAAUUUUGUACUUUAUUUGUGUCAUUUUUGGGAAAAGAGUUUUAUAUUAAUUUUACGUCGUGACGUCAUUUCUGUUCAGCCCGCGCUGCGUCCUCAGACCGCGUUGAGCACGCUGAGGAGAGGUGGGAAGAAAAUCACAGAACGAAAACAUUUCUCAUUGUUGUACUCUUUCUCUUUACUCCAUCCAGACCGCGUUGAGCACGCUGAGGAGAGGUGGGAAGAAAAUCACAGAACGAAACAUUUCUCAUUGUUGUACUCUUUCUCUUUACUCCAUCCAGUAUCUACAUGCUCCAUGUUAAUAAACCCUCCAUUAGCAGCAGUUCCCGUGAUCCGUCUCUUCAUUUAUAACACAACGCAGACCGUGAUAGUGACAGUUUGGGGGGGGGACCGGUUACACUUGUCAUGUACACAUCACUGCUAUGGGUGAUAUAUGCAAAAAGACAAGUUACAACCUGCUGUGCCCAUGUUUGUAGAGGAGGUGAGGGGUGUGUGUCUGUCUGUCUGCAUUUCACAGUCCAAUUAGUUCACAUCCGGUGAGGAUUUCUUUUAUUUGUAAGCAGUAGAUCAAAUACACAAACAUAUGAGCACACCUGGAGUCUCAUAUCUCAAAUUACGUAACAAUCUUUCAUCUUAUCUGCUAUUUGGCUUCAGGCUCAAAAUCAUGGCUACAGUAAGACUCCCUCUUCAGCUCUUAGUAAUAUCCUGUAAGAAUGAGAUAUGGUAUGUAAGCAAACACUUUUGAUAUGGUAAAUGGAAAGAAAUAAUUAAGAAUGACUUUGUGUUAUUCAAAUUUGUUAUGGUUUGUCAAACCCAAGUCCUCAGACACAGGAAACCAGAGGCAUUUAGAGGAGCUGGUUUCAGUUCAGAACCAAAAGCAUUUUUACAGAGAUCUUAUACUCUCACUUGAAUUUCGAGAGAGAGAGAGAGAAAGAGAGAGAGAGAGAGGAGUAUAAAGAACAACCCUCAUUUGAAGGGGAAAAACAUGUGCGUCAUGCAGCCAGAUUUUUUUUAUUCGGUUUUGGAGUAUGCAGUUUCAGUGUGUGUUUGUGUGUAAGACAAAGAGAAAUGACAUGGAGAAGAACGAAAUUGCAACAUCAUCAGCUACUGCCAAUAAAAACUUGUUUAUAGAGACAGAGCAUGUAAAAACAGGCAGAGGCAUUCAACAGUAUUCUGAAGAAUGAUCUAAAUAAUGAGAGCUCUUCUUCAUUCAGAUGUCAUUCACUGGUAUAGUCAGUUUGUACCACUAAAUAACAUCUCUAAUGCUAAAACUCUCUCGGUCUGUCAUUCUUUCUAACUUGUUCACUGUCCGCUCUUGGUCUUGGCAUGUACAUAUUUAUGUUCAAACUCAUGUUAACUUAGCAAAAUGUAGGUUUAUAUGUAC